UUAUUCAAGAGCUAACAACUACGUGGGGAGCAAUUUUCAAUAGAAAAAAUGCACCUCAACCUUCCUCCAUUUGUCUUAUAGAAGUGUCUCAAAAUCUUUGCUCUCAACCAUUAAAGGAGGGGUACAAAGAUUUUUAAGGUCAUCAACUAAUCAGCUUUUGUGUCAAAAUGGCUUUCAUUUGUUAGAUGGCAUUGUAAUUCUGAUAGAGGUUGGUUCUUGGGAGACAAAAAGAAUGACUUACAAUACAAUAUUUGCCAGAAGCUUUAGUCAUUAUGAGCAGAAAAGAUUAGGAUAUGGAGCAUUUGUGGGUUUCUUGCUGAUGGUUUUGAGUCUUUGCACUGUGUUUAAACCUUACUUGGGCCCUAUACAUGAUUUGAACCUGAAGCUCUCCAUCGGCGCUGACACCAAAUUGCGGAUGGUUAAUGACACCAGAAGCUCUCAACAUAUAGCCAAAGUGGAACACAUUGUAGCCAAAAUCCUUGUUGAAGACACUAGCAGCUUUCCACAUAUUGAUGAAGCUGAAAGCGUUUUACCAAAGAAUCCUCCUAUUAUUGCUGUCAAUGACACCAGAAGCUCUCCUCAAAUAGUUAAAGUUGAAGAUAAUGUAACAAAGAUUGGCAUCAAUGACACUAGCAGCUCUCCACCAAAAGCAGAAGCUGAAAGCAUUGAGCCAAAGAUUCUUGCCAAUGACACCAGAAGCUCUCCACAAAUAGUUAAAGUUGAAGAUAAUGUAACCAAGAUCCUCAUCAAUGACACUAGUGGCUCUCCACCAAAAGCUGAAGUUGAAGAUAAAGAAACAAAGAGAGUGGAGCAAAUGUGCAUUACAGAAGAAAGAACAGAAUAUUGCCAAACCCAGGGAGAUGUCCGAGUGCAUGGAAAAUCCUCCUCUGUCUACGUCGUGUCACCUAAAACAACCAUUUUGGCAGAAAACAUCUCAUGGAGUAUAAGGCCUUAUGCUCGGACGAGUGAUGCAGCUGCAAUGAGUAGUGUAAGAAAAUGGUCAGUGAAACCAAUAGAAGUAAGCCAGGGAAUCCCCCAGUGCACCCAAAAUCACAGUAUUCCAGCAGUAAUAUUUUCCACAGCAGGGUAUACUGGCAACAACUUCCAUGAAUUCACUGACGUUGUUAUUCCAUUGUUUUUGACUUCUAGACAAUUCAAAGGAGAAGUACAAUUUAUCAUAACUGAUAAGAGGCAUUGGUGGAUUUUAAAGCACCAAGCAUUUCUUAAAAAGCUGUCCAACUAUGAGAUUAUGGACAUUGACAGUGACGAGGAAGUACAUUGCUUCCCAAGGGUGAAUGUGGGUCUCAAAAGGUAUCAUAAAGAGCUAAGCAUUGACCCUCAAAAGUAUUCCUAUUCAAUGAAAGACUUCAGGGAUUUUUUGAGAAGUUCCUAUUCAUUGAAGAGAGUUAAAGCAACCAGAAUCAGAGGUAGUCAACGUAAGAAGCCCAGGCUCCUGAUUCUUUCAAGAAAAAGAUCAAGAUCCUUCACCAAUGCAGCUCAAAUAGCGAGAUUGGCUAAAGGCAUGGGUUUCAGUGUCAUUGUUAUGGAGGCAGGGGGGAGCAUGAAAAGCUUUGCACAAGUUGUGAAUUCUUGUGAUGUCCUACUGGGAGUUCAUGGUGCUGGUCUCACUAACAUACUUUUCCUUCCAGAAAAUGCAAUUUUCAUCCAAGUUGUGCCUUAUGGUGGAGUGGAAUGGCUUGCCACCAAUGACUUUGGAGAGCCCUCAGAGGAUAUGAACAUCAAAUACUUGGAAUACAAAAUACAGUUGGAAGAAAGCACUCUUAUUCAACAAUACCCCCGAGAUCAUAUGGUCAUAAAGGAUCCGUCAUCAAUUGGGAAACUAGGAUGGGAAGCAUUUAGGUCUGUGUAUUUGGAUAAACAAAAUGUAAGGCUUGAUGUUAAUAGGUUUAGGCCAACAUUGCAGAAAUCCCUUGAGCUGUUGCAUCAAUAGGUAUGGUUUUUGAUCCAGUAAGCUGGAUGCUUUGAGUGUAGUAAAAUUUUCAUGUUUAGUAUCAUAUCAUACUCUUCAACCCAAAAAGAAAAACAAAGGGAAAGGAAAACCUCGUUCAGUGGGCCUGAGUCUUUCUUUUAGGCACAACUUUUGGGACAUCUUGUAAUAGCAAACAAUGAAUGAAAGCUACUAUGUUCAUUGUUGAAAAGAAUGACGACCAGACAUGAAGCAGAUACAUGAAAUUUCCUGUUGGACUUAUUGAUGAAAAGAAUGCCUGUUGAAGCUGGUACAUGAAGUUUCAACAACCGCAUACCAGUUUUAUCUGAAUAACUUGUAUCAUCAUUUGCAUCAAGUGAAGAAUUUUAAGCAGCAAAUGCUUGUGAAACCCAUUAUUUCUGCUCAUAAUGAAAAUAUCAAGAAUUUGUGAUCACUAA
Molecule: RNA transcript, 2385 nt
Organism: Lotus japonicus
Lineage: Eukaryota; Viridiplantae; Streptophyta; Magnoliopsida; Fabales; Fabaceae
Gene name: beta-1,2-xylosyltransferase XYXT1-like
Exons: 9
Source: RefSeq, a predicted model, not a curated record